AAUUAGAGUGUUCAAAGCAGGCACAGGAUUCAAUUUUCUGCCACCGAAUACAUUAGCAUGGGAUAAUGGAAUAGGACCCUGUCCUCCUAUUUUCAGUUGGUUUUGGCAGCGCGAGGACUAGGGUAAUGAUUAAUAGGGAUAGUUGGGGGCAUUAAUAUUUAAUUGUCAGAGGUGAAAUUCUUGGAUUUAUGAAAGAUUAACUUCUGCGAAAGCAUCUGCCAAGGAUGUUUUCAUUAAUCAAGAACGAAAGUUAGGGGAUCGAAGACGAUCAGAUACCGUCGUAGUCUUAACCAUAAACGAUGCCGACCAGCGAUUAGGAGACGUUGAAUACAAAACACCACCAUCGGCGCGGUCGUCCUUGGCGUUCGUGUUCACGCACGAGCGCGAGGGCGGUUUAGCCCGAUGGCACCGGUGAAUGACUCCCUAGCACAUU
RNAcentral lists this ribosomal RNA (433 nucleotides) under Acanthamoeba sp. RNAcentral describes it as "SSU rRNA". The stretch from base 1 to 373 matches the Rfam family "Eukaryotic small subunit ribosomal RNA", at positions 764 to 1114 of the family's 1831-position model. Lineage: Eukaryota; Discosea; Longamoebia; Acanthamoebidae. The record is from RNAcentral.